UAUCCUAGAACAUUGGCUCAUUGGUGUGGUUCGAGUCUCACGUGUGGCUGGAGUGUUAGAAGGACGCUUGCGGGGGGAGUGCGCUCCUCAUGCGGCUUGCGGGUCCGUCCCGAAGGCGCGUGCUUGGGAGUAGCUAACCCGCAAGCGGAGUGGCCCGCCGUUGGUACUUGGCCCCAGGUUGCACUGCGGGUCCGUCCCGGGUCCCUGGUCUUGUUAAGUGGGUAGCGCGCGAGUCCCCGGCAACACAAGCCAUAACACACGGAGACCAGAAGAUCCACCCAGCGAGUCAAUCCCAGGAACAAGUACCAAGUAGAACCAGAAAACGAAAUUUAUAAAAGUAGCGAACGACUACAUGGACUAAUAAAACAUUAAUUGUUCAACGGCGCCAAGCGCGACACUUACAGGGAACAAAAGCAAAGAAAAAAAAAGAAAACGAGGACUAGCAGGGGGCAGCGGCGACUAGUUGCCGGGGUCUUCCGCUGUGGGCUCUGGCUUCCUCUGCAUCAGGUCCACCACCUCGUCGACGAACCUGCCUACUGCCUUGCUGUGGGAGGGGCCGUCCUCGCUGUCCGACCAGGCGUCCAGCAGCGCUUCGAAGGGGAAGUCGGGGUGAUAGUAGUGCACCCGGGGGAGGAUCGUCUCGGCGAUCUCCCUGGCGCAUGAAGCUAUCUCCCCGUCGCAGCUUGG
RNAcentral lists this long non-coding RNA (687 nucleotides) under Brachypodium distachyon (stiff brome). RNAcentral describes it as "long non-coding RNA (BDIS_LNC003900)". Lineage: Eukaryota; Viridiplantae; Streptophyta; Magnoliopsida; Poales; Poaceae. The record is from RNAcentral.